Molecule: ribosomal RNA, 586 nt
Filed under: uncultured Neisseria sp.
Lineage: Bacteria; Pseudomonadati; Pseudomonadota; Betaproteobacteria; Neisseriales; Neisseriaceae
Description: bacterial SSU rRNA
Rfam family: Bacterial small subunit ribosomal RNA
Source: RNAcentral
UCUGAGAGGAUGACCAGCCACACUGGGACUGAGACACGGCCCAGACUCCUACGGGAGGCAGCAGUGGGGAAUUUUGGACAAUGGGCGCAAGCCUGAUCCAGCCAUGCCGCGUGUCUGAAGAAGGCCUUCGGGUUGUAAAGGACUUUUGUCAGGGAAGAAAAGGGCGGGGUUAAUACCCCUGUCUGAUGACGGUACCUGAAGAAUAAGCACCGGCUAACUACGUGCCAGCAGCCGCGGUAAUACGUAGGGUGCGAGCGUUAAUCGGAAUUACCGGGCGUAAAGCGGGCGCAGACGGUUACUUAAGCAGGAUGUGAAAUCCCCGGGCUCAACCUGGGAACUGCGUUCUGAACUGGGUGACUAGAGUGUGUCAGAGGGAGGUAGAAUUCCACGUGUAGCAGUGAAAUGCGUAGAGAUGUGGAGGAAUACCGAUGGCGAAGGCAGCCUCCUGGGAUAACACUGACGUUCAUGCCCGAAAGCGUGGGUAGCAAACAGGAUUAGAUACCCUGGUAGUCCACGCCCUAAACGAUGUCGAUUAGCUGUUGGGCAGCAUGACUGCUUAGUAGCGAAGCUAACGCGUGAAAUCGAC